This 451-nucleotide ribosomal RNA is filed under the name uncultured bacterium. Its description in RNAcentral is "partial 16S ribosomal RNA". It matches the Rfam family "Bacterial small subunit ribosomal RNA", at positions 29 to 523 of the family's 1533-position model. The record is from RNAcentral.
AGCGAACGCUGGCGGCAGGCUUAACACAUGCAAGUCGAGCGGGCAUCUUCGGGUGUCAGCGGCGGACGGGUGAGUAACGCGUGGGCACGUGCCUUCUGGUUCGGCAUAACUGAGGGAAAGUUGAGAUAAUACCAGAUACGCCCUUUUGGGGAAAGGUUUACUGCCGGAAGAUCGGCGCGCGUCUGAUUAGCUAGUUGGUGGGGUAACGGCCUACCAAGGCUACGAUCAGUAGCUGGUCUGAGAGGAUGAUCAGCCACACUGGGACUGAGACACGGCCCAGACUCCUACGGGAGGCAGCAGUGGGGAAUAUUGGACAAUGGGGGCAACCCUGAUCCAGCCAUGCCGCGUGAGUGAUGAAGGCCUUAGGGUUGUAAAGCUCUUUUAUCCGGGACGAUAAUGACGGUACCGGAAGAAUAAGCCCCGGCUAACUUCGUGCCAGCAGCCGCAGUAA